Molecule: ribosomal RNA, 2192 nt
Filed under: Ralstonia solanacearum
Lineage: Bacteria; Pseudomonadati; Pseudomonadota; Betaproteobacteria; Burkholderiales; Burkholderiaceae
Description: bacterial LSU rRNA
Rfam family: Bacterial large subunit ribosomal RNA
Source: RNAcentral
UCAAGCGAAUAAGUGCAUGUGGUGGAUGCCUUGGCGAUCACAGGCGAUGAAGGACGUAGUAGCUUGCGAAAAGCUGCGGGGAGCUGGCAAACGAGCUUUGAUCCGCAGAUGUCCGAAUGGGGAAACCCGGCCCGUAUGGGUCAUCCCUUGCUGAAUACAUAGGCAAGGGAGGCGAACGCAGUGAACUGAAACAUCUAAGUAGCUGCAGGAAAAGAAAUCAACCGAGAUUCCCAAAGUAGUGGCGAGCGAAAUGGGAACAGCCUUGUACUCUUUAGCAGUAUUGUUAGCGGAACGGAAUGGAAAGUCCGGCCAUAGUGGGUGAUAGCCCCGUACGCGAAAACAGUAUUGUGGAACUAGGUGUACGACAAGUAGGGCGGGACACGUGAAAUCCUGUCUGAAGAUGGGGGGACCAUCCUCCAAGGCUAAAUACUCGUGAUCGACCGAUAGUGAACCAGUACCGUGAGGGAAAGGCGAAAAGAACCCCGGGAGGGGAGUGAAAUAGAUCCUGAAACCGCAUGCAUACAAACAGUCGGAGCCUGGAAACGGGUGACGGCGUACCUUUUGUAUAAUGGGUCAGCGACUUACAUUCAGUGGCAAGCUUAACCGAUUAGGGAAGGCGUAGCGAAAGCGAGUCCGAAUAGGGCGUUCAGUCGCUGGGUGUAGACCCGAAACCAAGUGAUCUAUCCAUGGCCAGGUUGAAGGUGCGGUAACACGUACUGGAGGACCGAACCCACUAACGUUGAAAAGUUAGGGGAUGAGCUGUGGAUAGGGGUGAAAGGCUAAACAAACUUGGAAAUAGCUGGUUCUCUCCGAAAACUAUUUAGGUAGUGCCUCGUGUCUCACCUUCGGGGGUAGAGCACUGUCAUGGUUGGGGGGUCUAUUGCUGAUUACCCCGCCAUAGCAAACUCCGAAUACCGAAGAGUGCAAUCACGGGAGACAGACAUCGGGUGCUAACGUCCGGUGUCAAGAGGGAAACAACCCAGACCGCCAGCUAAGGUCCCUAAGAUUGGCUAAGUGGGAAACGAAGUGGGAAGGCUAAAACAGUCAGGAGGUUGGCUUAGAAGCAGCCACCCUUUAAAGAAAGCGUAAUAGCUCACUGAUCGAGUCGUCCUGCGCGGAAGAUGUAACGGGGCUAAGCCAGUCACCGAAGCUGCGGAUGCACGUAAGUGCAUGGUAGGAGAGCGUUCUGUAAGCCUGUGAAGGUGUCUUGUAAAGGAUGCUGGAGGUAUCAGAAGUGCGAAUGCUGACAUGAGUAGCGAUAAAGGGGGUGAAAGGCCCCCUCGCCGUAAGCCCAAGGUUUCCUACGCAACGUUCAUCGGCGUAGGGUGAGUCGGCCCCUAAGGCGAGGCAGAGAUGCGUAGCUGAUGGGAAGCAGGUUAAUAUUCCUGCACCGUCGUAUGAUGCGAUGGGGGGACGGAUCGCGGAAGGUUGUCCGGGUGUUGGAAGUCCCGGUCCCUACAUUGGAGAUGGCACUUAGGCAAAUCCGGGUGCGUGAUUCAAGGGUGUGGGGCGAGCGACGUUAGGUCGCGAAGCAAUUGGAAGUGGUUCCAAGAAAAGCCUCUAAGCUUCAGUCAUACGAGACCGUACCGCAAACCGACACAGGUGGGCGAGAUGAGUAUUCUAAGGCGCUUGAGAGAACUCGGGAGAAGGAACUCGGCAAAUUGGUACCGUAACUUCGGGAUAAGGUACGCCCUUGUAGUUUGACUGGCUCGCGCCAGAAGGAUGAAGGGGUUGCAAUAAAAUGGUGGCUGCGACUGUUUAAUAAAAACACAGCACUCUGCAAACACGAAAGUGGACGUAUAGGGUGUGACGCCUGCCCGGUGCCGGAAGAUUAAAUGAUGGGGUGCAAGCUCUUGAUUGAAGUCCCGGUAAACGGCGGCCGUAACUAUAACGGUCCUAAGGUAGCGAAAUUCCUUGUCGGGUAAGUUCCGACCUGCACGAAUGGCGUAACGAUGGCCACACUGUCUCCUCCCGAGACUCAGCGAAGUUGAAGUGUUUGUGAUGAUGCAAUCUCCCCGCGGCUAGACGGAAAGACCCCAUGAACCUUUACUGUAGCUUUGCAUUGGACUUUGAACCGAUCUGUGUAGGAUAUGUGGGAGGCUUUGAAACCGGGACGCUAGUUUCGGUGGAGCCGACCUUGAAAUACCACCCUGGUUUGUUUCUGUCUCUUAUACACAUCUCCGAGCCCACGA